CCCCUCUCAGGCUCGCACCUGGAGAGUUUCCAGUACUCUACCAGUCUUGGCUAUGGGAGGAAGAGUCAAGCAGAGGCCUACCCAUUCCAUUCCCUACCUUGGCCAGUGGCUAGCGAGUGGAAGGCUAUCUGCUACAAGU
Molecule: small nucleolar RNA, 139 nt
Organism: Ornithorhynchus anatinus (platypus)
Lineage: Eukaryota; Metazoa; Chordata; Mammalia; Monotremata; Ornithorhynchidae
Source: RefSeq, a predicted model, not a curated record